This 117-nucleotide ribosomal RNA is filed under the name uncultured bacterium. RNAcentral's name for it is "partial 16S ribosomal RNA". The record is from RNAcentral.
AAUCCCAAAACCAUCGAGGUCUCUAGAAAAACAAAUAAACAACCCAGUGCUGAAAUAAAUUUUUAAAAAUAUUCCCAAGAUAAUUACCUGCAAACUUCAAGCCCCCAAGACCCUUAG